Molecule: long non-coding RNA, 1009 nt
Organism: Lolium rigidum
Lineage: Eukaryota; Viridiplantae; Streptophyta; Magnoliopsida; Poales; Poaceae
Exons: 4
Source: RefSeq, a predicted model, not a curated record
UUCGAUUAAGAGGGUAACAUAUAUGGCUGAGGUCGGAGGAGAUCGAAACACGGAGGCGCAAUCAUGAAACGCUAAUAAGAGGCGGCGAUGAAAAAAGUUGUUUCAGGCUGAUGGUUCCCUUUUGAUUUUUAGCUACUCUCUUUUCCAUUGGAUGUCGGUUGAAGUGAUGAAGUAUAACAGUUGCAUUCCCUUUGUUUGUUGCAUCGUGCCUAUAAUUUUUCACAGUUACCCAUAUCUAUUUUCUUGGGUACACAAUGACAGAAUGUGGGCGUUAAUAUCAUUUGUACAAUUAAUAUCUAUUUUCCACUACUUUGCAUGUAAAAACCAUUAUAUGUAUGACCUGGAUAACUCUAGACUACUUAUAAGAGUUUACUGAUUUUGUGUUUUACACCAUCACCUAUAAGGAUGCCCCUGGAUUAUGUUCCUAUCCAUACAAUACUUUCAUUCUCUGCGCUUCAGCUAGCUAACAUAGUUUUUUCCCUUUUUAUUUAUUAGCCUCAAGGUCAGUAAAGCUUCAGUUUUUGCUUGCUUCCAUUUGUUCUCAUGUCUCACAAAUUUAAAUUGGUCAUUUGAUUGAUAAGGUUUGUGGUGCCUGCUGAUUGUUAGAUUUAACAAUCGUUCUAUACAAAAAAAUAAUUGUUGCAAAUUACGUGACUUAUGUGGAUAAAUCAUCCUUUUCCUCGUCCAUGAUUUCCCGGGCGUCAGAUCCGCGAGCUCCCAUAUAUUUUCCUGAUUUCCUCACGAUUUGCCUCAAGAUUUGCCUACUGUUGCUGUUUCAGAUUUGGCAGAGCAUUGGUUGAGGAAACACCUGGAAAGAAAAGGUUUGUUCAAAUUAAAUCACCGGAAUUUCGUGGACUUGCUUAGACUGUGGCGAAGGCCAUUCUUUUACUAGCGUAGGGCAGAUUGUGUGGGAGAAAGGAUGCUUGUUGCAAGAAUGGGCAUCUUGUUCUCGUGCCCGGCCGACUACUAUGACCCAAUGGAAGAAGGCAUCCUCGAACCGUCGGCGAGC